Molecule: long non-coding RNA, 1112 nt
Filed under: Portunus trituberculatus (swimming crab)
Lineage: Eukaryota; Metazoa; Arthropoda; Malacostraca; Decapoda; Portunidae
Description: uncharacterized LOC123501634
Source: RNAcentral
AGCAGUGAGGCACAAGAGAACGAUUUGUUCAGUAGGCGUUGUGCGGGUAAGACGUGUGUGCACCAAGAAGUGUGUCUGCUCGCUGCUUUGUCACCAGUCCGAUUAACGUGAAGUGUAUACAACAAGGGAGAAGUCGGGUCUUGCCGGCCAUCCUCUAAACCUGGGCGAACAAGUCUCAGGCGUCAGUCAGAUGGAGCACGUCCCGCCACGAAUCUGGCACCGGCGUCCCUACAUCUGCUCACUACCAACUUGGUAGAGCCUCUGUUUCACUCGAGCUAACGCGUCAGCUACAGCAACGCUCGAGUCAGACCUGCACCCGCCCAAGCGUCUGAUAAGCCCAGGCAUCCUCUUCUGUCUGUGUCCAUGUGAUAGCAGUCCAUCUCCAGGUCGCCCUCUUCAAAAGAGGGCGUUGACAGUGGAGACGUGCGGUCCUGGCGGUCCAGCAUAGGUCCUGCCACUACUGAAGAGAGAACCAAACCAGCGUCUUAAUCACACCCAACUUGCGGCAAGAAAUUUUCUCUCGUUGCACUGGAAGAAGCCAACGGUCUCGCUGCAUCUUCCAUGGAGGAAUUGGACCCUGCCUCGCACCAGCUCUGCCAUGAUAACGUGCUGCCAUCAAGGGAGGACACUGCCUCGCUGCACCUUCCAUGGAGGAAUUGGACCCUGCCUCGCACCAGCUCUGCCAUGAUAACGUGCUGCCAUCAAGGGAGGACACUGCCUCGCUGCACCUUCCAUGGAGGAAUUGGACCCUCUCGCACCAGCUCUGCCAUAACGUGCUGCCAUCAAGGGAGGACACUGCCUCGCUGCACCUUCCAUGGAGGAAUUGGACCCUGUCUCGCACCAACUCUGCCCUGAUAACGUGCUGCCAUCAAGGGAGGACACUGCCUCGCUGCACCUUCCAUGGAGGAAUUGGACCCUGCCUCGCAUCAGCGCUGCCCUGACAAGUGGUGCCAUCCAGGAAGAGAGGACAUAUUAUAUUGCCUUGCUUCAUCUAACCUAACCUAACAAAUACAUGUUGCGAAUCACUCUUGUAAUGUUAUUCCUUCCAUGUUCUGAUGUGCCCACAUAACUGGUGUUAUACUUUAAUAAUAAAUAAAGAUUAAGGAAAUUGA